RNAcentral lists this long non-coding RNA (1004 nucleotides) under Marmota monax (woodchuck). The record is from RNAcentral. Lineage: Eukaryota; Metazoa; Chordata; Mammalia; Rodentia; Sciuridae.
GCCCUCUCCGCCGCGGCCCUCGGAACUUCCGCACCCCGCGCGGAUCACGGCGGUGGCGGGUUUGAAUGGCGCGGCGUCAGUCCCGACGCGGGAAGGGGGUCCUCCUCGGAGGCUCCUUCCUCGUCGGCCCGGCCCCCUCCCUCCCGGCUUCACCCUCACACACCCUGGCCCACCCUUUCAGGAACCGGUGACCACAGGAGCCGGGCUGUUUGGGAAUUGUGUGGACAGGUGGCUUAGACCCAGGGUUCCCCGGCCCCGCUGGCUUCGUGGUGUACAGAGGGAUUAGUCUAGCAGCGGAUUAACAGAGCUAGACAAAAUGGUUAAUUGCUGCACCUUUUAGAAUUUCUCCGGAACCCUUGAUGGUUGGUUCAGUGGCUGUAACUGGAAACGACUGAGUGAAGGAGGUCACAGCACUGGUACCAGCAGUGCAGCCCACUGGGAGGCUGGCCCCCUGCAGAGCCUGGAGGGUAGCGGUCGUCUCUGCUGCAAAUGCAGUUCCAAUGUUGAAGAUAACAGCUAAACUCUCCAGAAGGAAAAGACUUCUAAGGACAGAGUGGGCCUCCAGGCCUGGCAACGCAUGGGGCAAGCUUCCCUGCAACACCUGUCUCACUGCUCUGCCAACCCGUCCCCAGGCAUCUGACCCUCCGUCUGGAGCCCACGGGGGCUUCCUAGCUCCCUCCCUUUUAGGCCUCUGCACAUCUCUCCUCGGAGGGUCCGCCAGACCACUCAUGAAAUAGCAGCUUUGGUUGGGCAUGGUGGUGCAUGCCUGUAUUCUCAGGUAAUCUGGAGGCUGAGGCAGAGGACUGAACAUUCCAGACCAGCCUCAGCAUAGGUUAACAAAAUUCUGUCUCAAAAUAAAAACAAAAAAAAAAAUGUAAAGGGUUGGGGUGUGUAGCUCAGUAGUAGAGUACUUGCCUAGCAUGUGUGAGGUCCUGAGUUCUAUCCCCAGUACCACAAAAAUAAGUAAAUAAAUGGAAGCUGUUGCCUUCACUCUGCCCUCUUAU